Molecule: ribosomal RNA, 465 nt
Filed under: uncultured bacterium
Lineage: Bacteria
Description: partial 16S ribosomal RNA
Rfam family: Bacterial small subunit ribosomal RNA
Source: RNAcentral
GACGAACGCUGGCGGCGUGCUUAACACAUGCAAGUCGAACGGAAAGGCCCUGCUUGCCGGGUACUCGAGUGGCGAACGGGUGAGUAACACGUGGGUGAUCUGCCCUGCACUUCGGGAUAAGCCUGGGAAACUGGGUCUAAUACCGGAUAGGAGCCAUUUUUAGUGUGAUGGUUGGAAAGUUUUUUCGGUGUAGGAUGAGCUCGCGGCCUAUCAGCUUGUUGGUGGGGUAAUGGCCUACCAAGGCGGCGACGGGUAGCCGGCCUGAGAGGGUGGACGGCCACAUUGGGACUGAGAUACGGCCCAGACGCCUACGGGAGGCAGCAGUGGGGAAUAUUGCACAAUGGGCGCAAGCCUGAUGCAGCGACGCCGCGGGGGGGAUGACGGCCUUCGGGUUGGAAACUCCUUUCGCUAGGGACGAAGCUUUUUGUGACGGUACCUAGAUAAGAAGCACCGGCUAACUACGUG